RNAcentral lists this long non-coding RNA (846 nucleotides) under Mus musculus (house mouse). Its description in RNAcentral is "colorectal neoplasia differentially expressed, non- protein coding". The record is from RNAcentral. Lineage: Eukaryota; Metazoa; Chordata; Mammalia; Rodentia; Muridae.
AGAGCCGCGCACCAAGCCGAUGGCGGUGGACGCAGCAGGGCCCCGCGGUCUGAGUGCGGGCAGGCGCGCGUGGGCGUGUCUCCCUGGCCCACGCGUGUCCCCGGCAUCAGUGUCUCGGCUCUGGUCCAGGACGAAGACUUCUGAAAGCGAGCCAAGGAGAAUCACAGUUCUUAACGGAGCCCCUGACUGCCCGGUGGAAGGAGGUGAUUUAGAAGACAGUGAGACUCAGCUACUGUUCCCAUCGAGAUGCAAAGGACACAGAGCUCACGGGUGCUCCAGCAAUGCUGGUGUCAUGUUUGGAGCCUCCCAAUAGAACAUUUCUUCCUGAGCCAACCUAUCAGUGCAGCUCUGGAAGCAAAUGACCUCUCCUGGCAGAGCCUUCACUGUGUGGGGAACAUCAGAUUUGUGUAAAGAAGCACAGGAUGUUUCUUGGCUUCAAACCAUUUGGAUAAGUGAUGGCAGCAAGCUUCGCCACUGUAAAGUCACCUCUUUGUAAGAAGACAGGAGCUCUUUGUAAAGAAUAUGAGACCUGAGGCUGGGGGAUGGCUGAGAAGGGAAAAGCACCUCUGCACAAGCGUGAGAAAAGGAGUUUGUUCUUCCACAUCCAUGUAGAAAUCUUGAUGCCGUGCCGUGAACCCCAGCUCUCCUACGGGAAGAUGGGAGGCGUAGACAGGAGUUCAUCUGGAAGCUUGAGGCCAGCCACCCAGAUCCUCAGAGCUGCAGACAAAAGAGAGGCCCUGCAGCAAAAGAGUGGAAGGUGAGAACCAACUCCGGAAAGUUGCCCUCUGACCUUUACAAGUGUAUACAUCCACACACAUACAAUAAAAUCAAUUGCUCAAUCACGUA